UCGGAAUAUUAUCGCUUUUCUACGAGAAAAAUGUCGUAAAAAUUGAUUUUAAACAGCGAUUGACAUGCUUCGAAGUACGGUAAUGGAAUACUUAGAAUUUUAUUGUCACGAAUUGCGCCAAGCGCGUGACACUUCUUUACUAUUUCGGAUAGUGUCUGGAACGCACGAACAAAACGCCGCUAUUCGGAUAUAACGAUGGAUUAUUUUGGACCAAACCAACAUUUGUUAUUGAAGUAGCUGUCCUGGGUGUGUAUUCUGACGAAGACAACAAAAGGGGUGGACCUCGCAAAAUCCAGGAAUGGCAACAGCUGGUGUCUGACUGCGACUGAUUAUUUCUGUGGUUCUCCUGAGGUCAUCUUGAGUGACCGAGGUCGUGAACUCUGGAACAAGGUUUGGAUGAAUGGACCAACCACACCCUCAAGACUGCCAUGGCCAAGUCCCUUGACGGGUUCCUGGAAUGGUGGGAGGACAACCUGAAGGUCAUUCCCUUUGCACACAUCAGCAGCAUCCAGGCCUCCAGAGUACUCACCCUAUCGCCUGCUGUAUGGACGGGAGCUGCAGCUGUUGACUGAGGUGAGACUGAACAUGGACAAGGCGCAAAAGAAACAGAAGGAGAGCUACCGGAGGAGAAUCAAGAAAGGGACCAAGAGCUUCGACAUCCGGCCAAAUGAAACCUUGCUGCUCUUUCACUCCUAGCUGGGCUCACCAUCCGUUAAGGAUCUAGGGGUUCUGCUAACACCCAGAAAUGGAUCCAGCUGAUGUCUUCCAUUA
This 771-nucleotide long non-coding RNA is filed under the name Salmo salar (Atlantic salmon). RNAcentral's name for it is "lncRNA (ENSSSAG00000082641.1, ENSSSAG00020082810.1)". Lineage: Eukaryota; Metazoa; Chordata; Actinopteri; Salmoniformes; Salmonidae. The record is from RNAcentral.